AAAUUGAAGAGUUUGAUCAUGGCUCAGAUUGAACGCUGGCGGCAGGCCUAACACAUGCAAGUCGAACGGUAACAGGAAGCAGCUUGCUGCUUUGCUGACGAGUGGCGGACGGGUGAGUAAUGUCUGGGAAACUGCCUGAUGGAGGGGGAUAACUACUGGAAACGGUAGCUAAUACCGCAUAACGUCGCAAGACCAAAGAGGGGGACCUUAGGGCCUCUUGCCAUCGGAUGUGCCCAGAUGGGAUUAGCUUGUUGGUGGGGUAACGGCUCACCAAGGCGACGAUCCCUAGCUGGUCUGAGAGGAUGACCAGCCACACUGGAACUGAGACACGGUCCAGACUCCUACGGGAGGCAGCAGUGGGGAAUAUUGCACAAUGGGCGCAAGCCUGAUGCAGCCAUGCCGCGUGUAUGAAGAAGGCCUUCGGGUUGUAAAGUACUUUCAGCGGGGAGGAAGGGAGUAAAGUUAAUACCUUU
Molecule: ribosomal RNA, 473 nt
Filed under: Escherichia coli
Lineage: Bacteria; Pseudomonadati; Pseudomonadota; Gammaproteobacteria; Enterobacterales; Enterobacteriaceae
Description: bacterial SSU rRNA
Rfam family: Bacterial small subunit ribosomal RNA
Source: RNAcentral